RNAcentral lists this long non-coding RNA (2512 nucleotides) under Mytilus galloprovincialis (Mediterranean mussel). The record is from RNAcentral. Lineage: Eukaryota; Metazoa; Mollusca; Bivalvia; Mytilida; Mytilidae.
AAGAUAUGGAAAGCAGAAAGAUAUGUAUCAACGUUGUGUGUCUUUAUAUUAUCAAUUUGUAACUGCAAUAUUUUGCUAAUAACUUACACAUCAAUUUAAUAUUUUAUGUGUAUCUUUAUCAUAAACUACUAGUUAAUUUAAACAACUACUAGACACAAUUAUAAAAGGAACAGUAGUAUACCGCUAUCCGAAAGUUAUAAAUCAAUUACGAAAAAACAAAUCCGGGUUACAGACUGAAACCGAGGUCAACACAUCAACUAUAAGAGGAAAACAACAGAACCACUGAAGUUGAACAAAAAAAAGUCAAUGCAACACACACAGAAACGAACAAUCAGAUACCAAUUUAUUUCGGUCUCGAAAUAGGAGUACAAAAUCGACUACCUUUAAUACAAUAGUACCUAAUUUCUAUAUGUUAAAUGGAAUUAUAAUAAUGAUAUGAUUUAUGUUGUUGAAUGAAUGUUUCAAUAGGUUUGAAAUACAACUGUUCAGCUUAUAAUCACAGGACGACUCCUUAACAUCCAAUGUCGUCAAGUCCAAAAUUGACGGAAACCCGUUGAUCUGUUCUCAAUUAGAUUGAUGUUUGAGUACUAGGCUCAACAUUUUUAAAUCAGUCCUCAAACUGAAUUGAAUCGUUUGGAAUAGUAGAUGACCAGCUCUCAAUUUGAAGCGUUUAGGGUAUAAAGCAUGUUAAGUGAGUAAUUUUGUAUAUUUGUAGUUAUGUGUAUACCAUUAUUCAAACUGUGUUUGUUUGUUUUGUUUUAUUUUAUAUAAGUAAUUGUACUUCUGAUGAUUUCUAUUCAUAUUUCUAAAAUGUCAAUUCUUUUGAAUCCGGAGUUUAUUGAGUGCAGAAGCUGGGAAAAUUUAUUUAUCUUGUAACUGACUUCUUCGAACAAUAGAGUGAUAACACAAAUACGGAAUUUUUAGGUAAAAAAAGGGAGGUCUACACAACUGUCAAAAUCAAUCAUCUAAUAUAAUCUUAUAAAAGAAAACGUAUUUCAUUUCCUAACUUGAUACUUGAUGGGUUUAUGUUUGAAUUGAAAACUAGCUUAACAUGUAACUAUAAGUGAUAGUAUCGCUAUCCUAACACAUUUGAACACAGCAACACAAAAUGUUAGCGUAACAAUCAAGUUUAAAAUUAAUAACUUAAACAACUUACAUUUUUUACAAAGAUUGGGACAUGCAGAGCAUAAGUAAGAGUACUAGCAAUAAGAUUUAAAUUCGGUUUAGCGUUUAGUGAUUUUCUAAAUAUCAGAUAAGUAACAAUAUAACAUAGGAGAGGCGAUACAUGUCAGGGGGUAUUUAAUCUCAUUAGUUAAAAACAAAUUACCAAUACCUUGGCAAUACAUGAAAAACAAUGAAAAGACAAACAAAAUGCAAAUCACAACCAUAUAUGCAUGUAGAAAAUAAGAAGAUACAAAUGAAUUCUAUUAACCAAGUUCAUUCAUAUCCAAUAAUUGUUUUGUAGAGUUCUGAUAGAUGUGCCGACAAAUUCAUGUAUGAAAAUGAGACCGGCUAAGAAAGAUGUAUUUAAAAUUAUCAAAAAUAGAAAAUAUAAAUGUUCAUUGUUUGCAAGUUAAGACAUAGUGCUUGAAUUCAUCAUUUUCACAUGUAGAACAUGUAGAAGUACAUGCAGAUUUCAUUAUUAUUAUAAAAUUGAAAACUGAACAAUACCAAAGUAUGAGAUAGAUGCCGUUAACUGGUAUAUGCAUUAAACAAUAAUAACGGAUCUGAUUGACAUAAUUAUGUAUGAUUUCAUUUUGACAAAAUGCGUACUGAACUGAGUACAGAUGUGUUUGUCUAUGCCAGCUCAACACACUGAUUAAUGUCAACAUUUGUGUGAUAAUUCAAAUAUGUAAAUCGGAUUACACGCUUUUGAAUUUGCUGUCGAAAAGCAACAUGAAUAAUGCCGAUUGUGGUAUGACCUGAUGUAAUUAUAAAUACUAAUAAACACAGUACAUGUUAUGGUAUAAUGAUAGUUGUUUUAAAAAUAAAAAUAAUAAAAAGAUUGCAUUAAGUCUGUUUUAUGUCAUGCAAGAAAUAUAAUUCAUCGUUUUACUUCAUGAUAAUGUUAUUUUAAAGGAAAAAAAAUAUAACUAAAAUGGUUCGACCUUACGCAUGUUAUGGCUCCCUUGUUUUUUUUUUCUUUUUCAUUUUUCAUUUUUUUUUCUGUUUUUUUUUCUUCUAAUGUUUUUUACUUGAUAAGCUCAUUAGUAACUCAUCUACAUAGUAUGAUUAAAUUGAUGACUGUAUAAACAUGAUAAAUAUGGUUUCAAAUGAGAUUGAUUUAUAGACUUGUAAGCUUAUUUUGGAAAAAUUGAACCAAACUGACUGUUUUUACAUUAAACAUGUUAAAUGUUUGAAUUAAAUAAAUAUAUAAGAAUUUUCAUUAUUUUUGUUUUAUUUUAAAGCUCAUUCAUUUGAGAAAGUGACGAAUGAGCAUACAAAAUAAAGAUAAAAAACCACAUUUUUUAAACAACCAUAAAAUGUCCCUUUCGGUGGCUGAAUUCCGGCA